Molecule: ribosomal RNA, 25 nt
Filed under: Oxychilus meridionalis
Lineage: Eukaryota; Metazoa; Mollusca; Gastropoda; Stylommatophora; Oxychilidae
Description: partial 5.8S ribosomal RNA
Source: RNAcentral
AAAAUAACUUGAGCGGUGGAUCACU